RNAcentral lists this ribosomal RNA (497 nucleotides) under uncultured bacterium. RNAcentral describes it as "partial 16S ribosomal RNA". It matches the Rfam family "Bacterial small subunit ribosomal RNA", at positions 28 to 507 of the family's 1533-position model. The record is from RNAcentral.
GACGAACGCUGGCGGCGUGCCUAAUACAUGCAAGUAGAACGCUGAAGAGAGGAGCUUACUCUUCUUGGAUGAGUUGCGAACGGGUGAGUAACGCGUAGGUAACCUGCCUUGUAGCGGGGGAUAACUAUUGGAAACGAUAGCUAAUACCGCAUAACAAUGGAUGACACAUGUCAUUUAUUUGAAAGGGGCAAUUGCUCCACUACAAGAUGGACCUGCGUUGUAUUAGCUAGUAGGUGAGGUAAUGGCUCACCUAGGCGACGAUACAUAGCCGACCUGAGAGGGUGAUCGGCCAAACUGGGAAGGAGACACGGCCCAGACUCCUACGGGAGGCAGCAGGAGGGAAUCUUCGGCAAUGGGGGCAACCCUGACCGAGCAACGCCGCGUGAGUGAAGAAGGUUGUCGGAUCGGAAAGCUCGGUUGUAAGUCAAGAACGGGUGUGAGAGUGGAAAGUUCACACUGUGACGGUAGCUUACCAGAAAGGGACGGCUAACUACGUG